UAAUUUGAGAGUUUGAUCCUGGCUCAGGACGAACGCUGGCGGCGUGCCUAAUACAUGCAAGUCGAACGAACUCUGGUAUUGAUUAGUGCUUGCAUCAUGAUUUACAUUUGAGUGAGUGGCGAACUGGUGAGUAACACGUGGGAAACCUGCCCAGAAGCGGGGGAUAACACCUGGAAACAGAUGCUAAUACCGCAUAACAACUUGGACCGCAUGGUCCGAGCUUGAAAGAUGGCUUCGGCUAUCACUUUUGGAUGGUCCCGCGGCGUAUUAGCUAGAUGGUGGGGUAACGGCUCACCAUGGCAAUGAUACGUAGCCGACCUGAGAGGGUAAUCGGCCACAUUGGGACUGAGACACGGCCCAAACUCCUACGGGAGGCAGCAGUAGGGAAUCUUCCACAAUGGACGAAAGUCUGAUGGAGCAACGCCGCGUGAGUGAAGAAGGGUUUCGGCUCGUAAAACUCUGUUGUUAAAGAAGAACAUAUCUGAGAGUAACUGUUCAGGUAUUGACGGUAUUUAACCAGAAAGCCACGGCUAACUACGUGCCAGCAGCCGCGGUAAUACGUAGGUGGCAAGCGUUGUCCGGAUUUAUUGGGCGUAAAGCGAGCGCAGGCGGUUUUUUAAGUCUGAUGUGAAAGCCUUCGGCUCAACCGAAGAAGUGCAUCGGAAACUGGGAAACUUGAGUGCAGAAGAGGACAGUGGAACUCCAUGUGUAGCGGUGAAAUGCGUAGAUAUAUGGAAGAACACCAGUGGCGAAGGCGGCUGUCUGGUCUGUAACUGACGCUGAGGCUCGAAAGUAUGGGUAGCAAACAGGAUUAGAUACCCUGGUAGUCCAUACCGUAAACGAUGAAUGCUAAGUGUUGGAGGGUUUCCGCCCUUCAGUGCUGCAGCUAACGCAUUAAGCAUUCCGCCUGGGGAGUACGGCCGCAAGGCUGAAACUCAAAGGAAUUGACGGGGGCCCGCACAAGCGGUGGAGCAUGUGGUUUAAUUCGAAGCUACGCGAAGAACCUUACCAGGUCUUGACAUACUAUGCAAAUCUAAGAGAUUAGACGUUCCCUUCGGGGACAUGGAUACAGGUGGUGCAUGGUUGUCGUCAGCUCGUGUCGUGAGAUGUUGGGUUAAGUCCCGCAACGAGCGCAACCCUUAUUAUCAGUUGCCAGCAUUAAGUUGGGCACUCUGGUGAGACUGCCGGUGACAAACCGGAGGAAGGUGGGGAUGACGUCAAAUCAUCAUGCCCCUUAUGACCUGGGCUACACACGUGCUACAAUGGAUGGUACAACGAGUUGCGAACUCGCGAGAGUAAGCUAAUCUCUUAAAGCCAUUCUCAGUUCGGAUUGUAGGCUGCAACUCGCCUACAUGAAGUCGGAAUCGCUAGUAAUCGCGGAUCAGCAUGCCGCGGUGAAUACGUUCCCGGGCCUUGUACACACCGCCCGUCACACCAUGAGAGUUUGUAACACCCAAAGUCGGUGGGGUAACCUUUUAGGAACCAGCCGCCUAAGGUGGGACAGAUGAUUAGGGUGAAGUCGUAACAAGGUAGCCGUAGGAGAACCUGCGGCUGGAUCACCUCCUUU
RNAcentral lists this ribosomal RNA (1567 nucleotides) under Lactiplantibacillus plantarum. Its description in RNAcentral is "16S ribosomal RNA". It matches the Rfam family "Bacterial small subunit ribosomal RNA". Lineage: Bacteria; Bacillati; Bacillota; Bacilli; Lactobacillales; Lactobacillaceae. The record is from RNAcentral.